AGAGUUUGAUCCUGGCUCAGAACGAACGCUGGCGGCGUGCCUAACACAUGCAAGUCGAACGCGAAAGGGAGCAAUCCCCGGUAGCGUGGCAGACGGGUGAGUAACACGUGGGUAACCUACCCGGAGGUGGGGGAUAACCCUUCGAAAGGAGGGCUAAUACCGCAUGACACCGCGGGGACCUCGGUCCUUGCGAUCAAAGCUGGCCUCUGUUUACAAGCUAGCGCCACCGGAUGGGCCCGCGCCCCAUUAGCUAGUUGGUGAGGUAACGGCUCACCAAGGCGACGAUGGGUAGCCGGCCUGAGAGGGCGAUCGGCCACACUGGAACUGCGACACGGUCCAGACUCCUACGGGAGGCAGCAGUGAGGAAUCUUGCGCAAUGGGCGAAAGCCUGACGCAGCGACGCCGCGUGGAGGAUGAAGGUCUUCGGAUUGUAAACUCCUGUCGAGUGGGACGAAUGCCGUGAGGGUGAACAAUCCUUACGGUUGACGGUACCGCUGGAGGAAGCCCCGGCUAACUCCGUGCCAGCAGCCGCGGUAAUACGGAGGGGGCUAGCGUUGUUCGGAAUCAUUGGGCGUAAAGGGCGCGUAGGCGGCCGAUCAAGUCGGAGGUGAAAUCUCUCGGCUCAACUGAGGAAUUGCCUUCGAUACUGUUCGGCUUGAGUCCUGGAGAGGGUAGCGGAAUUCUCGGUGUAGCGGUGAAAUGCGUAGAGACCGGGAAGAACACUAGUGGCGAAGGCGGCUACCUGGACAGGUACUGACGCUGAAGCGCGAAAGCUAGGGGAGCAAACAGGAUUAGAUACUCUGCUAGUCCUAGCUGUAAACGAUGGGCACUUGGUGUUGCGGGUAUCGACCUCUGCAGUGCCGAAGCUAACGCAUUAGUGCUCCGCCUGGGGAGUACGGUCGCAGGCUGAAACUCAAAGGAUG
This 923-nucleotide ribosomal RNA is filed under the name uncultured bacterium. Its description in RNAcentral is "bacterial SSU rRNA". It matches the Rfam family "Bacterial small subunit ribosomal RNA", at positions 8 to 910 of the family's 1533-position model. The record is from RNAcentral.